AGAGUUUGAUCCUGGCUCAGGACGAACGCUGGCGGCGUGCCUAAUACAUGCAAGUCGAGCGGACUUGAGGGAGCUUGCUCCCGAUAGUCAGCGGCGGACGGGUGAGUAACACGUGGGCAACCUGCCUGUAAGACUGGGAUAACUUCGGGAAACCGGAGCUAAUACCGGAUAAUCCUUUUCCUCUCAUGAGGGAAAGCUGAAAGACGGUUUCGGCUGUCACUUACAGAUGGGCCCGCGGCGCAUUAGCUAGUUGGUGAGGUAACGGCUCACCAAGGCGACGAUGCGUAGCCGACCUGAGAGGGUGAUCGGCCACACUGGGACUGAGACACGGCCCAGACUCCUACGGGAGGCAGCAGUAGGGAAUCUUCCGCAAUGGACGAAAGUCUGACGGAGCAACGCCGCGUGAGCGAAGAAGGCCUUCGGGUCGUAAAGCUCUGUUGUUAGGGAAGAACAAGUACCGGAGUAACUGCCGGUACCUUGACGGUACCUAACCAGAAAGCCACGGCUAACUACGUGCCAGCAGCCGCGGUAAUACGUAGGUGGCAAGCGUUGUCCGGAAUUAUUGGGCGUAAAGCGCGCGCAGGCGGUCUCUUAAGUCUGAUGUGAAAGCCCCCGGCUCAACCGGGGAGGGUCAUUGGAAACUGGGAGACUUGAGUGCAGAAGAGAAGAGCGGAAUUCCACGUGUAGCGGUGAAAUGCGUAGAGAUGUGGAGGAACACCAGUGGCGAAGGCGGCUCUUUGGUCUGUAACUGACGCUGAGGCGCGAAAGCGUGGGGAGCGAACAGGAUUAGAUACCCUGGUAGUCCACGCCGUAAACGAUGAGUGCUAAGUGUUAGAGGGUUUCCGCCCUUUAGUGCUGCAGCAAACGCAUUAAGCACUCCGCCUGGGGAGUACGGCCGCAAGGCUGAAACUCAAAGGAAUUGACGG
Molecule: ribosomal RNA, 926 nt
Filed under: uncultured bacterium
Lineage: Bacteria
Description: bacterial SSU rRNA
Rfam family: Bacterial small subunit ribosomal RNA
Source: RNAcentral